GAGGGUGCGAGCGUUGUCCGGAAUCACUGGGCGUAAAGGGCGCGUAGGUGGCUCUAUAAGUCGGGGGUGAAAUGCUGCGGCUCAACCGCAGCGCUGCCUCCGAGACUGUAGGGCUCGAGCACGGUAGAGGCCGAUGGAAUUCCCGGUGUAGCGGUGGAAUGCGUAGAGAUCGGGAAGAACACCAAUGGCGAAGGCAGUCGGCUGGGCCGUUGCUGACACUGAGGCGCGACAGCGUGGGGAGCAAACAGGAUUAGAUACCCUGGUAGUCCACGCCGUAAACGAUGGGCACUAGGCGUCGGGGGGAGCGACCCUCCCGGUGCCGUCGCUAACGCAGUAAGUGCCCCGCCUGGGGAGUACGGCCGCAAGGUUG
Molecule: ribosomal RNA, 370 nt
Filed under: uncultured organism
Description: bacterial SSU rRNA
Rfam family: Bacterial small subunit ribosomal RNA
Source: RNAcentral